This is a long non-coding RNA of Lates calcarifer (barramundi perch), 360 nucleotides long. RefSeq lists it as uncharacterized. The transcript has 4 exons. NCBI's taxonomy places the organism in Eukaryota, Metazoa, Chordata, Actinopteri, Centropomidae. The record is from RefSeq and is a predicted model, not a curated record.
GCGAACCCGUACAUAUAUUGUACUACGUCACAUCCGGACAGUUAUUUUCAGUUGGAGACAGCGGGUGAACACGGAGGCUGGAGACAUGUGUGCCACCAGCAUAAAAACAGAAAGGACUACUAAGAUGAAGCCAGGGUCCUGCUCUACUCAGACCUCCUGACUGACAUCUGGCUCUCAUGUAGGAGUUAGGACAAAACGCUGAAAAUCCAGGUGUGAAUGGAUGUCCGUCUCUGUGAGUCAGUGCUGUGAUUGACUCGUGACCUGUGUACCCUGUCUUGUCAGCUGGGACAGACACCAGUCUUUCCUUGACCCUGGAUGCCUCCCAGACUCCUGCUGCACCUGUGAAGGCAGGAAGGCGAC